Carassius auratus (goldfish) is the source of this 5337-nucleotide long non-coding RNA. Lineage: Eukaryota; Metazoa; Chordata; Actinopteri; Cypriniformes; Cyprinidae. The record is from Ensembl.
AUAUAUAUAUAUAUAUAUAUAUAUAUAUAUAUAUAUAUAAAUUUUUAGGUUUUUCUGAAGAAAAGGCAGCAUUUUUUGAUAAUGAUGACUACGAGGAUGUGGAUUCUCUCAUGGACAAGUCAGGAGAGGAGGAUGAAGAUGACAGAAAGAGGGAUUCUUCUGGGACAGAAUAUGAUGACAUUGAGGGACAAGCCAAUGGAACCUCUCCUUCUCAAACCCACCAUGAUGAAGACCUCGACAUCCCUCUCCUUCCCAAGAGACCCGAGAACAUUCUUGGUACAUCGCUUAAAUGUACACUUCACUGUAUGUGUGUGUAUGUGUGUGUGUGUGUUGUGUGUGUGUGUGUGCCUUUAUGAAAAUGGUGCUGAACUUUUCCUUUGUGUUCUCAUCAGAUCAGGACACCUAUGAAGUGGAGACAGAGAAACAGAAGGACUGUGAUGAUGUCAUAUCUGUCGAGGCUACAGCCAAUGAAAAUGCAGGGAUGACAGGCACACAAGCUCAUGUAGAUGUAGACGUGGAUGAAGGUGCAGAUUCAGAUUUAGAUGCAGGUCUGUUUGCAAAUGCUGAUGCAGAUAUGUUGACCACAGAGGUAGAAGUUCACGCUCAAGCAGAGUAAUAAAGCAGCCACGAGACCAAAUUGUUAUUUUAAGUUAAUAUUAAUAAGUGAUAAGAUUGUAUGUUCUUAUUACAGUAGAAAAUUAAAGGGAUAGUUCACCCAAAAAUCUAAAUUAUGUCAUUAAUAACUCACCCUUAUGUCGUUACAAACCCGUGAGACCUCAGUUUAUCUUUGGAACACUUUUUAAGAUAUUUUAGAUUUAGUCCGAGAGCUCUCAGUCCCUCCAUUGAAGCUGUGUGUACGGUAUACUGUCCAUGUCCAGAAAGGUAAGAAAAACAUCAUCAAAGUAGUCCAUGUGACAUCAGAGGGUCAAUUAGAAUUUUUUUGAAGCAUUGAAAAUACAUUUUGGUCCAAAAAUAGCAAAAACUACGACUUUAUUCAGCAUUGUCAUAUCUUCCGUGUCUGUUGUGAGACAGUUCAAAACAAAGCACUUUGUGAUAUCCGGUUUGCGAACAAAUCAUUCGAUGUAAGUUUUUUUGAACCAGUUCACCAAAUCGAACUGAAUCGUUUUAAACGGUUCGCGUCUCCAAUACACAUUAAUGAACUGACUGAACUGCUGUGAAGAGAGAACUGAAGAUGAACACCAAGCCGAGCCAGAUAACGAACAAAAGACUAACUCGUUCUCAAGUCAAGAACCGUUUCCGUCUGAUUCGAGAACCAAGGAGCUGACGAUACUGCACAUGUGUGAUUCAAUGUGAAGCAGACCGACACACAGAGCGUCUGAACCGAACUGAUUCUUUUGGCGAUUGAUUCUGAACUGAUUCUGUGCUAAUUUUAUGAGCCCAGGUAAACCGAAGCCUUGAAUCAAGGGCAAUCAUCGGCAAUGAUGCCAUUAAGUCGAGUGCAAAAGAACCGGUGAACAGUUUUCUUCAACCGGUUUAUUGAAUCGAACUGUCCGAAAGAACUACUGGUGAUCCGCACACUGAUGCGACCGGUUCUUGACUCAAGAACAACUUUUGUUCAUUAUCUGGCUUGGCUCGGUGUUCAUCUUCAGUUCUCUCUUCACAGCAGUUCAGUCAGUGUACUGUUUGAGUAAAUGAUUUACUCUGGGAUAUUCGUUUGUUUUAGCUCAGAGGGAGUGUCAGCCACAUUAAAGGUCCCGUUCUUCGUGAUCCCAUGUUUUAAACUUUAGUUAGUGUGUAAUGUUGUUGUUGUUAGAGUAUAAAUAAUAUCUGUAAAAUUCUAAAGCUCAAAGUUCAAUGCCAAGCGAGAUAUUUUAUUUAACAGAAUUCGGCUACAAAAAACGACCCGUUUGGACUACAUCCCUCUAGUUCCUGCAGUAAUAACGUCACUAAAACGUUUUUUUUGACUAACCUUCGCCCACAUGUAUACGCAAAAAGGAGGGCGUGGUCUUGUUGCUCUCCGACAGAGAAGAGGAAGAGCUGCAUAUGUGUUUAUCGCCAUGUCGUCGAAACGCUGUUAUUUUCAUCUCUGAGUCCAAUCAUCUUGUUUUGGGCUUCCCAGGGAUGCUGUACUUGGAGAUUAAUGGUAACAAUUUAUGUUUAACUCGGUUCCCAAAAUUAUAAUCCACUUGUAAAACUAUGUGCAGCACAUUUUGCUGAGGACAUCGAGCUUCCUCAAUCUCAAUCAGUUUAAUGCCGGAUUCACACAAAGAUUAUUUCUGAAAGAUGGAGCAGUUCCCUCUUUGUCUGGAGGAGGCGUUGUUUAUGGACCACAACCGGUAAGUGUAUUUUAUUAUUUAAGUUGGUGCGUUAAACAGUUUCUGUAACUUAUUACACAGAGGGCAACGCUGUUUAGCUUUGUUAACUAGAUGUUAGUUAACAGUAAAAAUACUGUUUUUUUACACGCGAAACAUGAACACAUGUUAUAUUGCACACUGUAAACACAAUCAAAGCUUCAAAAAAGCACGAAAAAUGGGACCUUUAAAAAAGUUAACAGCUUAAGUCUUUUGUGGAUUAAUGCAUAUUGGAGACGCGAGCCGUUCCAAACGAUUUAGUUCGAUUUGGUGAACUGGUUCAAAAAGAUCCGUUACAUCGAAUAAUUUGUUCGCGAACCGGAUAUUAGGGCUGUUCGAUUCUUUUCCAAUUCUUUUUCAUUUUAUUUUAUUUUUAUCUAUUUAAAAAAAAAUGACAAUACGAAAAUGUUAGUUUUUUCAGCUUUGCCCAUGAAAUUAGUCAUAGUCCAGCUCAGCAGGGACAUGUGUUUGUCACAUGAAUUAAAUAAGACAUGAAGAGUCUAAAAUAAAUAUGUACAGUUCAGCUGAAUGAUGAAAUUUACUUUGUUUACUUUGCACAAUAUUAACAAACUGUACAAUGAAACAAAAUAACCAGAACAUCUAUGACUGAUAGAGCUCAUGGUUUAUCUGUCAAUCAGAUGUGCUCUCGGCCACUGGUCUAUGCUCGUGAUGUAUUCUUUUGUAAUUUCCAUUGGCUGAUAGAAUUGUUUUAAAAAAAAUAGUAUUUUAGAUGGUAAUAAGAUCAAGACCCUAAAUGACGUCAUUAUCUAUUCUGUCAUGCAGCGCUCAAAAAUGUGGACAAGCCAGUUCCACCAUAACUUUAUUUAAUUUUUUAUUUAAAGUAAUCUUUUAUAUCACAACUUUACUAAUUAUGGAUUUGCUGAAUUGUGCUUCUGAAAUGGAAGGCUACAUCCUAAAAUUCAAUUGAUCAGUACUGACUCUUUUUAUUUCUGUUUAUUUUCCUGAAUUUAGAUGUGUGUAGCCUUUGUCGGAUGUAGCCUUCCGUUUGAGAGACUCCCAUAGAUAAUCUUUGUUGAACUGAAAAACACUCUGAAUGAGGAGUCAAUUCCCCUUGAUGGAAUUCCAACCUUUGGAAUCGACGCUCGAUACCCAACUUCUCAGAAUCGAGGAAUCGAUUAUUUUUGGAAUCGAUUUCCAGCCCUACCGGAUAUCACUACACUGUUGUGUUUCGAACUCUAUCACAACAAACACGGAAGAGAAGACAAUGCUGAAUAAAGUCGUAGUUUUGUGCUAUUUUUGAACCAAAAUGUAUUUUUGAUGAUUCAAAAUAUUCUAACUGACCCUCUGAUGUCACAUGGACUACUUUGAUGAUGUUUUUCUUACCUUUCUGGACAUGGACAGUAUACUGUACACACAGCUUCAAUGGAGGGACUGAGAGCUCUCGGACUAAAUCUAAAAUAUCUUAAACUGUGUUCCGAAGAUAAUCCGAGGUCUCACGGGCUUGGAACGAGUUAUUAAUGAAAUCAUUUAGAUUUUUGGGUUAACUAUCCCUUUAAGAAGAAAAUAUGGAUAAACCAAUGCUGUUUAAUGAUGCUAACUCUCAAGAUUUCUCUCAAGAUGUAUAAAAUAAGGGACACAUACACAAAACUGAUUUGGAAUAACAAAAUAUCUAAUUGUUGUCACAAAAGUGUAUGAACUGAAGAAAAAAGCUAAUUUUUGUGCUGACAAACCAGUCAAACUUUUUUGUAAUUCUUAAGGUUUUGAUGUGUAAUUUUGAUUUGUUUGCUUCUUCUUUGCUUGAUUUGUUUUUCAGUCUGUUAAAGCUCAUGAGCAGGCCCACAUGAACUCAGCAAAAAACCUUGAAAUUCAAACGUAAUAAUAGCUUAUCAUUAUCUUGUUCAUUUGAUAUGCUAAUAUCUUUUAAAAAUGUAAAAGAUCAAUGCUUAUAAAAUUUCCAAAGCCAGGUACAGUAACACUUUGCUAUCACAAACAGGAGGCCAGAGUUCACUUGGUUCACCCCCCAACUAAAAUUUGCUGAAUUUUCCAACCCGAGUUUGGACACUACAGAUAAAACAAACAAAAAAAAGCAUUAUGUCACUUCACCAAUGGAUCCUCUGCUGUGAAUGAACGCCAUCAGAAUCCACAAGUAAUACACUUGACUCCAUCAGUUAAUGUCUUCUGAAGUGAAACGAUUUGUGUUUACAAGAAACAAAUCCAUCAAGGCAUUUUUUUUAUCUUUGCUUGAUCUGAUUCAAACAAGAUGACUUUCACAGUGGAAAUAAUAAAUAUUUUGGAUAGAGAAUUUUUAUUUUAGCUGGAAGCAGCAGUUUGAAGUUAAAAACAUCUUGAUGGAUAUGUUUCCUGACUGGAUUAAUUGUGGGUCAUUGUGAUGUUUUUAUCAGCUGUUUAGACUCUCAUUCUGACAGCACCCAUUCACUGCAGAGGAAUUAUUGGUAAGCAAAUUAUACUAAAUUUCUCCAGAUCUGUUCCCAUGAAGAAACAAACUCAUCUACUUCUUGGAUGGCCUGAGAGUGAGUACAUUUUCAGCAAAUUUUAAUUUUGGGGUGAACUAUUUCUUUAAUACACAAUGUAUAUAUAUAUAUAUAUGGACAGAUAAACGUUCAGCUGUCCAUUUAGUUUCCAUUCAUCUUCUGGAUCAAUAAUUAGACAAAUGUUAGCAUGAAAAAUAAAUUGUUAUGCAAAAAAAAAUAAAAAAAUAAAAAAACAAUCAAUUCAUCUGUAACCACUAGUUUCUUAAAUGUUGCAUAAUAUUACUGAAAAAAUGUAAAGAUAAUGCUCACCAAAAGUGAAAACCUACUCUAGGUGCUAUUUUGGCACAAAAAACAGUAUAUUUUACUUACCGUGGCCUACUCGUGAGCAAGUGUAUUAAUUUUUGAAAGAGAUGUUUAUUAUUUUAAAAGGAAUUAUAGUUUUACACAAUUUUACAAUAAGAAUCUUAUUUUCUAUUUUUGUAUAUACAGUAUUAAGUAUUAAGAUAAAAUCAAAUAAUAGAUUGUUUAGAAAUUGUGCAGCGAUUUUGUUUGAUCUGCCUUUUUAUUUUUUG